AGCGAGAAGACUGCAGGCUUUCUCCACCGCGUGGCAUCAUCAGGGGGAUAAACCAUGAGCCUGGUCUAAUGAGCAAUGAAACACUUCGUAAAUAUUUGAUUCAAGGGGACGCGAAUAGUAAAAUAACGUGGAGCUGACGUCUGCAAUGACUUUUGAACUUUCCUCCUAACUACAGGCACAUGUGUUUUACACAUCAGCUGUGUUCCUGAAAAGUCGGGUUUCAAUCCAUAUGCUAAGUGGAAUUAUGUUUCAGAUGUUCUAGGGAUACUCCUGACUUGGGGAAACCAGGAAUCAGUGAACAGGCUACGGACAAAGCCUCGCCCACGACCGCUUCGUCUCUGCUCAGUUUGGACGGCCCCCUCUGCCCCCGGCCGAGGCCGAGCCUUUGAGGAUGCAGAGUCAGCACCGGCAGCCGUUCAUUUCAUCGCUGGGUCUGCGGAGGAAAGGGCUGGUCCUAGGGAAGGGUCAAGGGCAGGCUGUUUUGUUUUCUAGCAGCAAAACAGAGAAGGCUGGAGGAAACCACCCAAGCGCCAAGCUCUGCAGAGGGCAAGUGAAGUCGGAGUUUAAAAACAAAAGUGGAGGAGCCCAUCUCCUUGAAGCUGUUUAUAUUACAUAACUCAAAUAAACACAGCAGCGCAGGCAUGGUUCCCUCGGUGAGGGCCAGGACCACAGAGCCCAGAGGCGGACAAAGGGCACCUCCUCCAGCCUCUGGCUAGAAAUGGCUCCUUUAAAACAACAACAGCAGCAUUAAUAAUAUUCGGGGACACACCAGGACAAUUCAGGAGGACAGCCUGAAUAAACUGAGGAGAGGACUCAUGCUAAUUAGGACUUGUAAGGUGACUUUCUUUUCUCUUGCUAAGGAAAGAAAUCCUCAUCAGAGCAAUGGGGAGAAGCAAAGUUGACCCCAAACGGCUAUUUGCAUUUUGCAAAGGGGGGACAAGAGGCACUCGAUCCUGCCGUGAAAUCCUGCAGGAGCACGGAGGCCACUUUCUCAGGCACCUGGGGGGGCAGCUGGCUUUCUGACUUCAGCCCGGGGUGAUGGGAAGCAUCGGGCAGUUUUACGGAAUCUGCCUGAAGAAUAAAGAACAUGAAAGAAAAGUUAGCCACUCAGUAAAUGGACACAGACCUACAGGCCCGGCGUCUGAACGAAAUCAGAGAGUCUUGAAAUUGAGAGCAGGCAAGAACCGACUGCAACCUUUUUCGUCAGUCGCCUGCAGUGUCCCAGGACAGCAACCCUACCGUAUGCCAGGGGACAAGAAUAGAAAGAAAAAUUGAGAACACAGCCCUGAGCACGGGCUGGCGGUAUCGGUUGCCAGCAGUUGCCCCAUUAGUAGGCUAUGGGGACAUGCGAGGGAAUUUUUCUGUACGAGGCUUGUGUUUAAAAAUAUAUCUUGCUUCAACGCUGGUGCGGGAGUGGCUGGGGAAUGAGAGCCUGCUUUCUCCGCGCAGAGCAGUUUGCUCAUCCUUCUGUGAUUUACUGCACGGCACUCACCUCUCUGAGGCCGCCCCUCAUAUGCCACAUGACAGUGACCAAGACCUCAACCUGGCUCUUAGAAAGCUAACACGUAGGACGAUUCCUGGACGAAAGCCACGCUCCAGAAACAUCCUCCCCAGUGGCUUGCUGGAAGCACACGGGGCUGGGGAUGGAGGCUGAGAGGAAUGCUUCCCCACCAAGGCCUCUCUGACCCUUCUCACUCCAUGGAUGUGUCCCCGGGGAUGCUUCCCUCCCCAUGUCCUUAUUCUCAAAAGGAGGACACCAGUUCCUACCUACCUCUUAAGGGCGUUCAGGUGUAAUAGCUGAUGGAAAUGACUUAAAAGCCCUUGGCAAAUACAAAGUUCGAGAUCGAGUGCUGAAUGGUGGCCUCCCUCACCUACCCUACCUAAGGCAUUACUUAUGUGCCCCCACCUUUAAACCCUUUGCUGAAAGACUGCUCCGUGGGGUGUGAAGCUGGUCUGUGCCGAAGAAAUCUCAGGUUCCUCCAGAGAAGUUUGCCUUUGCAGGAACUGCUGAAAUCCUUACACGUCCAAACGCAUAUUCUGGGUAGGAAACAACAGGUGAUGAGCUGCCAUGGCUGAGAGGCUGCCAGGAUCCACCCAUGGGCACCCAGGGUUUGGCACCCGUUUCCCAGGGAGAGAUGAAAGGGAACAAAUCAACACGGCAGGGUCAAGUUCAAGUCUGCCUCAAUGAAACUCCGGAGACCUCCUUCUUGAAAAACAACUGGGACAGUAUGACAGCUGUUUAAGGGUGCCAAAGAAAAGUGUCCCCGGGGAAAGCUCCCCAGGGAAUGCUCUGUUUGCAAGAGGCAGUUGUGAGUGACACACAAGACAGACAGCCAGGAGCGGGGACAGUGCGGCCCCUAUGAACUCUCCAACGUCCCUGGGAUCGGGACCACCCACCAGAUGUGAAGGCUUGUAUUUCGUGCCGAGGAUGAUGGCAGUGAUAGCCGUGCUGAUGACUGCUGUUCUUCGGUGCCUGUUAGAAACUGGAUUGCUCUAAAGCCAUGGCUCCUGGAGGGGUCCUUCCUGGGAAGCGUUUACCACUUUGGACGCCUCACAGCUCCUGUGGUUGUUUCCUCUGAGGGUCUUUAUCAACCAGACACAAAUCAGGUUUUAUGGUUGCCCGUUAUUUGCGGCUACUUCACUUUUUUAAUUCUUAAUUUUUGGCCACGAGGCUUGUGGGAUCUUCGUUCCCUGACCAAGGAUCGAACCCACACCCGCUGCAGUAGAAGUGCUGAGUCCUAACUACUGGACCACCAGGGAACUCCCUGCGGCUACUUUAUAAUCUGGCCAGUGCUUCCCCGUGGCAAAUGGGUGAUGGGACAUCAAGACAAGAGGAUGGGGACGACGUGUCCAUCCAGAGAUGCUACACCCUGGAGGUGAAGGCGGACUACACGACGGUCCCCGUUUGUGUGGGAGCUGCCACCUCUGAAGCAGGCUGGGUGGAUGUGUCUCAUGGGAAGCACUGGACUUGGGUCCCAAAGACUUGGCUCUGACUCCUGGACCGACCACUUCCUAGCAGUAUGGAGUGGGGCACAUUAGUGAACCUUUCUGAGUCUCAGUGGUCUCACCUGUAAACUGGAGCUGAGACCUCCCUGUCAGGGCAGUUAGGGAGUUCCAAGGAAGCACCUCACUCCCAGAGACACAAUAAACAUUAGCUGAAACAGCAAACUCUGAUUCGGUAUAUGGGCGUGACCUCACCUCCAAGGGCGUUAAACUCAGUCACCUAGUAGGUAGGGUGUCCUCCUGUCUCACCCCCAAGAGCAGGGGCACAGAGCCCGGAAGUCAGCCUGCCACCUCCCCACCAAGAGCUGGUGACGGAGCCCAGGCCGAGCCGGAGCUGCGCGUCCCCGGUGAUCCAGAGCGCCUGCCACCACGCGGUUGUGAGCUUUUCCAGAGCACGCGGCUUGGACCAUUUGCCCGAGCUCCAUCGCUCCCGGCUACUCGGGGGGCAUCUCUUUCCUCCAGGCCCCUAGGGCACCACUCUGGGAACUGAAGCCCCAGAAAAAGUGCAAAGAGAAGGAAGCUCAGCGUUAUAUUCUUUCUAGAUGAAUCUCCAGGACGCAGCCGCCCCGGGAGAGUCCCCGACCGGCAGCAAACCUGUCUGUGUCCCCCCAGCUCCAUCUGCCUCUUGACUGACCUGGUGCUUCCCCACGUGGCCCUGCAUGGUGUCUUAUGUUCUCCCCAAGGAACCGCUGAAGAGGAGUGUCGCAUGCAUGUGCGGGUGUGGGAGAAGGGCCAGUUGAAGGCACUGUUGCUGUGGGCUUUUUGAAACUCUCCAAGUCCCUCACACGCCCAUGGUCGCUAUCACCCAGGCAGGACUGCUUGACAGAGCACGUGAUAGAGUGGAACUUAAUGAAGGGAUCCUAGAUGCUAGAGGGCGGAAAACAAGCCCUUCUCUUGUCUUCACGAUACCUUCCAGUGUCAGGACACAGGGUCACUGGAUGGAGCUCAGGACAAAGAAAUGGAAAUAAACCACCGCUGGAGGUGCCGCUUCCCCGUUUCCGACGGCCAGUCAGACUAUCUGCCUGGCUUCGGCUGCGGGUCCUGAGUUAAACGUUACAGCUGAUGGGCUGGGUGAAUCCAUGAUCAAUAGUGAUGCUGGUUCUUACAGGAGCUAAGAUAAGGGUAAUUAAAUCCUGUGCUUCGGGCCAUAUAAACUGAUCUCUGCAGGAGGGCGAGAAUUAAUUUAAUUUCACAUGCACAGCCCUGUCCGGCGCCUCCACCAGCUUUGUAUGAUAGACCCAGCGCGUGGCAGAGACGGUAGAGGGAAGGCGGAAAGAUUCGUUCCGAGCUCGAGGUGUUAUUAACCACCACACACAUCAAGAGCCUGAACUUGAUGGGGCCCAAGGCUGAUCUAGGGGGGCAAAUCCAGAGAUUCUUCCAGCUUCUCCCUCUAUUGGGUUUAUUACACACAAUCUGUACCGGGACUGUUUUCACACUUAAUGGCAAUCCUGAAUCACUAUCUACUUCCCAUUUUCGCCUGCAAAACAGCAACCCAGAGCUAGUGUUCCGCCAUAAACACUCGGCCCCAUAAAGCCACGGCUGUAUAGACUUGCCUUUUUGUGCGUCUGUGUCUGAUUCACUGGCGCUUUGGCAGCCUUCCAGGAUCUAGGAGAGGGAAAAAACCAUCCUGAGCAUCCCAACAGCCUCAUUUUGAUCUGUGAUACUGAGCAACUCAUUUCCACUUCACAGGCUCUGCUGAGCUGUGCUACAGAAAGACAAAUCCCAGCCGAAGAAAGGGGGGGGCGGGAGGAUGGUGGAGGAGACAGAGGGAGGGGAGGGGAGAGCAGAAAAAGGCCGCAUCUAUUAAGCUGUUUUUCUUUUGGUGAAAAGAAGCAUUUAUCAGUGAUUUCAUAUAUCAUGUGAGAGGUGGCUUCCUGCCAAUUUCCAAGAAUCCAAACAGCCCACUGACAUCAGAUGCUAAAUAUAGCUCAGCCUUUGCUUUAGGUGAAUAAAUAAUGCUGCUGGAAAGGAA
Lagenorhynchus albirostris (white-beaked dolphin) is the source of this 4975-nucleotide long non-coding RNA. RefSeq lists it as uncharacterized. NCBI's taxonomy places the organism in Eukaryota, Metazoa, Chordata, Mammalia, Artiodactyla, Delphinidae. The transcript is spliced from 3 exons. The record is from RefSeq and is a predicted model, not a curated record.